Molecule: long non-coding RNA, 1937 nt
Filed under: Homo sapiens (human)
Lineage: Eukaryota; Metazoa; Chordata; Mammalia; Primates; Hominidae
Description: PREDICTED lncRNA (TCONS_00076716)
Source: RNAcentral
GGGGGUGGCACCAGGCUGUGAAGGAUCCACAGACUGGCAUAUGCAGGAGGAAAUGGGGCGGGCGAGGAGUAAGGACCCCAAAAAGCAGGGGUAGGGAAGGGCCCUCCCAGCGCCCCACUGUAAUAGGGGCCUCAUCAAUGCCCCAUGCUCACUGAAUAAAGCACUGCCAGCGAAAGGUGAAAAGAGGAACAAAGAACAUUCUCCUGGACGCCACCCACAGAAAGCCACGUGCAGGCUUGGCCCUCACCUUGGGGACCUUGGACACGGAGCUGGUUAUGUCACAUCUGGCUCUCAGAGCUGGGGCAGCGUCUAGGAGGCCUGAUGUAGAAAGCACUCAGCUAAGCCCUAGUUACCGGCACACGGGCACCAGCGCCCCCUCUCAGCAAACUCCACGUCUUAUGAAAUUAGCACUGGAUUUCCACUUCAAUUGGAAAAUAUGGCCAAGGUGGAGAACCCCUUCUUUAAGCAAAAGAUGGCACGGACCCCCGACAUAAGACAGUUCAAAGCUGAGCGGCUCUCCCCAUCAUGCAAGUAACCUGCGUGCCGCCACGGGAAACAGCACGCAUCCCAUCUGGACUCCCACCAGACAACUGAGGCAACCGAGAAGGAGGCUGGGGAGGGACAGCUCGAGGGCUCACUGGAGGUCAGCAGGGAGGUGGACUGCGUCUCCCGAGGGCCAGCACUGGCUUAGCCUGCUCAGUGAGGUGCCCGAAGGAGGCCCACCAGCUCUGCCAGCACCCGGCCUCUGCACCUCAGCUUUCAGCGGAUAGGUUUGUGCAACGAAAUAUUUCAUAGAAAUCAAGAAACAUGAGUGAACGAUGCACACCACCGCGUGGAUGAGUCUCAGAGACUGUGGAGCGAAAGAAGCCAGACACAAAGGUUGACAUUUACACGCAAUCCUAGAAUGACGGCUCUAUGGUGGCAGAGAGGAGAAAAGCAGUUAGCUUUGGCAGGUGCCCACGGAGGGGGCUAUGCAAUGGAACUUUCUGGGCCCUGGAGGUGUUGCAGAGUUUGCUAUGGGUGGUGGUAGUUACGUGGGUUUCUAUGAAUGUAAAAACUCUUGGUGUGGUAGACCCAAGCUCUGGGCACCUCACGCAUGCCAUGCAGCAGCUCGAUCUGUGACAGCGAGUCCUGUGUUCCAUGAUAUGGCUGCAAACACUUGACAGAGUGAAUGCCGAACCUCUGCUCCUAAGGGAAAUAGAGGGCCAGGUUCCUACGAGCCUCUGCUCCAGCCUUUUCAGCAACCAAUCAGUACACAAUAGAGUUAUUUAUGUGUUUCUGUUAAUAUAUGUCACUAAACUCCCGGCCAAGAGCACUACAACUCAUGCCUGUACAGAGCCUGUCCAACACAUGUAUUUUCUCCAUAGGACACAUCAUCUCAAAAGCAAGUAUUGAUCUUAUUUUAUCUCAUUUUCAAGAGAUGCAGACUGUUCUUAAGCAAGUACUGGUUUUAGGUUUACAAAUACAUUUUAGCGAGUAGGCAAAUUUGCAAGUACAGAAUCUGUAAAUAAUGAGAUUCUACUGUAUGUGUGUGCAAUAUUCAAAUGAAGAGGACAGAGCUUCCUGCCUGACACAAGCCCCUGACUGACUGCCCCACCCACCGUCCCUUCUAAGAGCAGCAGCCUGGUCCCAGCUCUUGCCUUCCCUCCUCAGACCAGGGAUAAGCCCUGACCAAUGUCUACCUCCUGCAGCCAGACACAGACAGGCUGACUCAGGUGCUCUUGGAGUUUGAACUGAGAAAUGCAAGAGAAGCUUGCAAAAUGCUGAGAGGCUCCACAAGGGGCUGCUGAAGCCCCAGCAGGCAAAGCUGCCAGCUACAGAGCAAAAAGCCAAGGGAGGGGCAGGGAUGUUGGAGGAAGGACCUGGCUGGAGGUGACUGGGGGCGGUCGUGUCCUUGUCAGCAAGCAUAGAGCAGAACAGCUGCCCAAGGUGCCACA